This 330-nucleotide long non-coding RNA is filed under the name Chrysemys picta bellii (western painted turtle). Its description in RNAcentral is "lncRNA (ENSCPBG00000016315.1)". The record is from RNAcentral. Lineage: Eukaryota; Metazoa; Chordata; Testudines; Emydidae.
AUGCUGAGGUACUACAAUGAGGAGAGAUUUACAAAUGCCUGCACAUUUAAGAAAGGAAACAGAAGUUGCACAUGGAAGAAAAUUAAAGGCCAACCUGGAAGAAGAAAAGAAAUGUAUAAUGUGCUGGCCAAAAGAAAAGGAAAAUCAGAUUUAUUUAUAGACAUUGGUUGGUCUCCAGUUGUUUCCUUAAAGGUUGUUUGUGACAGAGCUUCAGCAAUGCCCUGUGCUGAAUGUGAUUCAUGUAAGGCAUAUGCAGUGGGUUCCGAGUUUGAAAGGAGUGCAAUCAACAAUCUCAAGAAUAAGAGUAUGUUUGCAGAGAUGGAUCCUUAA